RNAcentral lists this ribosomal RNA (401 nucleotides) under Escherichia coli. RNAcentral's name for it is "bacterial SSU rRNA". It matches the Rfam family "Bacterial small subunit ribosomal RNA", at positions 112 to 509 of the family's 1533-position model. Lineage: Bacteria; Pseudomonadati; Pseudomonadota; Gammaproteobacteria; Enterobacterales; Enterobacteriaceae. The record is from RNAcentral.
AAUGUCUGGGAAACUGCCUGAUGGAGAGGGAUAACUACUGGAAACGGUAGCUAAUACCGCAUAACGUCGCAAGACCAAAGAGGGGGACCUUCGGGCCUCUUGCCAUCGGAUGUGCCCAGAUGGGAUUAGCUAGUAGGUGGGGUAACGGCUCACCUAGGCGACGAUCCCUAGCUGGUCUGAGAGGAUGACCAGCCACACUGGAACUGAGACACGGUCCAGACUCCUACGGGAGGCAGCAGUGGGGAAUAUUGCACAAUGGGCGCAAGCCUGAUGCAGCCAUGCCGCGUGUAUGAAGAAGGCCUUCGGGUUGUAAAGUACUUUCAGCGGGGAGGAAGGGAGUAAAGUUAAUACCUUUGCUCAUUGACGUUACCCGCAGAAGAAGCACCGGCUAACUCCGUGCC